Molecule: long non-coding RNA, 641 nt
Filed under: Chloebia gouldiae (Gouldian finch)
Lineage: Eukaryota; Metazoa; Chordata; Aves; Passeriformes; Passeridae
Description: Erythrura gouldiae (Gouldian finch) lncRNA (ENSEGOG00005018726.1)
Source: RNAcentral
UCCUGCUCCAGGUGAAUGGUUCAGCUGCCAUCCCGUGCUCACGGCGGUGCUGCUGCUGCUGCUCCUGGUGCUGGUGCUGGCUUUGGGGGUGGCCUUGGCUGUGCAGUCAGGAUUUGCUCUUCCGCCUCCGCGGGAACGUCGAUUACUGGAUCGGGCUGCGCAGACGGGGCGAGCGCCUGCACUGGGGGGACGGCAGCAGCUACAGCUCCUGGGUUCCUGUCUUUGGAAAUUCUGAGUGUGUGUACCUGGCUGAGGAUAGACUUAAGAGUGAGAACUGCUCAAUCGAGCAGCCGUAUGUCUGCAGCAAGGCCCAAGCUGCCCUGUGACAGGGCUGCAGAAAGGACCUUGUCCCUGCUGGGCAGUGCCAGCUUCAGCUCUGAGCCCAGCACAGAGCUGAAGCUGGCACUGCCCAGCGGGGACAAGGUUCGUCAGCUGCAACCUGUGUUAAUAUGAAAACCAAUAACUUUAUUUUAAUUUAUAACAUCUUUUAAUUAUCUGUAUUGGGAAAUCCAAAUUGCCCUGGGCUCUUGAAAAUCAUCACAAAUUGGCCUGCACAUGACACUUCUGGACUGUCUUUGGAAGAGGAAGAAGAGCAGCUGACAGUGCUGAGGAGGAAUCCCACUUUCGCCAUCAGGCACCUG